Molecule: ribosomal RNA, 465 nt
Filed under: uncultured bacterium
Lineage: Bacteria
Description: bacterial SSU rRNA
Rfam family: Bacterial small subunit ribosomal RNA
Source: RNAcentral
CCUACGGGGUGCACCAGUGGGGAAUAUUGCACAAUGGGCGCAAGCCUGAUGCAGCCAUGCCGCGUGUGUGAAGAAGGCCUUCGGGUUGUAAAGCACUUUCAGCGGGGAGGAAGGCGUUAAGGUUAAUAACCUUGGCGAUUGAGGUUACCCGCAGAAGAAGCACCGGCUAACUCCGUGCCAGCAGCCGCAGUAAUACGGAGGGUGCAAGCGUUAAUCGGAAUUACUGGGCGUAAAGCGCACGCAGGCGGUCUGUCAAGUCGGAUGUGAAAUCCCCGGGCUCAACCUGGGAACUGCAUUCGAAACUGGCAGGCUAGAGUCUUGUAGAGGGGGGUAGAAUUCCAGGUGUAGCGGUGAAAUGCGUAGAGAUCUGGAGGAAUACCGGUGGCGAAGGCGGCCCCCUGGACAAAGACUGACGCUCAGGUGCGAAAGCGUGGGGAGCAAACAGGAUUAGAUACCCGUGUAGUC